This 386-nucleotide long non-coding RNA is filed under the name Salmo salar (Atlantic salmon). Its description in RNAcentral is "lncRNA (ENSSSAG00000115083.1)". The record is from RNAcentral. Lineage: Eukaryota; Metazoa; Chordata; Actinopteri; Salmoniformes; Salmonidae.
GAUGACUCUGCUGUCCAUGGCUGAAAAACAGUAGCGCAUUUUGUAAGUGGUCGAUCUGAGAACAAUGAGACGGUAUUUGGAACUAAACCAACAUUUGUUGUUGAAGUAGAAGUCCUGGGAGUGCAUUCUGACAAAGAACAGCAAAGGAUUAUCCUCUUCGAUAACCGAGACACCAGACCAGCUUGGGGGCAGAGAUACAAGUUAGCUGCAAUCUGAUUGCAGCUGGUAGCAACAAGAAUAAGCGCUGCAAUGAUUAUGGACCCAAGAAAUACAGGAAGACACAGUACACAUGAAUCAAGUGCAAGAAAUACAUGUGCAACACACGCACAGUAAAACUCUGUCCCUCAUGUGGUGUGUAGACCGGUCUUAAUUUGUAUCCAAUGGGG